Molecule: ribosomal RNA, 2077 nt
Filed under: Clostridioides difficile
Lineage: Bacteria; Bacillati; Bacillota; Clostridia; Peptostreptococcales; Peptostreptococcaceae
Description: partial 23S ribosomal RNA
Rfam family: Bacterial large subunit ribosomal RNA
Source: RNAcentral
GGUCAAGUUAUUAAGGGUGCAGGGCGGAUGCCUUGGCACUAGGAGCCGAUGAAGGACGUGAUAAGCUGCGAUAAGCUUCGGGGAGUUGCACGUAAACUUUGAUCCGAAGAUUUCCGAAUGAGGAAACUCACUUAGAGUAAUGUCUAAGUAUCAUUAAGUGAAUACAUAGCUUAAUGAGGGGAACUCAGGGAACUGAAACAUCUAAGUACCUGAAGGAAGAGAAAGAAAUUCGAUUCCGUAAGUAGCGGCGAGCGAACGCGGAUUAGCCCAAACCAAUAAAGUUUUCUUUAUUGGGGUUGCGGACAUAUCAUAACGAAGAGGUAUCGUAAUUGAAGAGGUUUGGAAAGACCCACCACAGAAGGUAAUAGUCCUGUAUGUUAAACGAGAAGACUUCAGAUAUGAUCCAGAGUACCACGGGACACGUGAAACCCUGUGGGAAGCAGGAGGGACCACCCUCCAAGGCUAAAUACUACCUAGUGACCGAUAGCGUAUAGUACCGUGAGGGAAAGGUGAAAAGAACCCCGGGAGGGGAGUGAAAUAGAACCUGAAACCCUGCACUUACAAGCUGUGGAAGCACAUUUCUUGUGUGACCGCGUACUUUUUGUAGAACGGGCCAACGAGUUACGUUAAGUAGCAAGGUUAAGCACUUAAGGUGCGGAGCCGUAGCGAAAGCGAGUUUUAACUGAGCGUUCAGUUACUUGACGUAGACCCGAAACCGGGCGACCUACCCAUGAGCAGGAUGAAGCGAAAGUAAAAUUUCGUGGAGGUCCGAACCCACGAGCGUUGAAAAGCUCGGGGAUGACUUGUGGGUAGCGGUGAAAUUCCAAUCGAGCCCGGAGAUAGCUGGUUCUCCCCGAAAUAGCUUUAGGGCUAGCCUCAAGGUGAGAGAUACGGAGGUAGAGCACUGAAUGUCCUAGGGGGUAUUGCACCUACCGAAGACUAUCAAACUCCGAAUGCCGUCAUCUUAUACUUGGGAGUCAGACUGUGGGUGAUAAGAUUCAUAGUCGAAAGGGCAACAGCCCAGAUCGUCAGCUAAGGUCCCUAAAUGUAAGUUAAGUGGUAAAGGAUGUGGGAUUGCACAGACAACCAGGAUGUUGGCUUAGAAGCAGCCACUCAUUCAAAGAGUGCGUAAUAGCUCACUGGUCGAGUGAUCCUGCGCCGAAGAUUUCCGGGGCUAAAACUUACUACCGAAGCUACGGCAUCAGUAAUGAUGGGUAGGGGAGCUUCCCAUACGGGUUGAAGCAUGACCGUAAGGACAUGUGGACAGUAUGGGAGUGAGAAUGUUGGCAUGAGUAGCGAGAUGUGGGUGAGAAUCCCACAGGCCGUAAACCCAAGGUUUCCAGGGGAAGGUUCGUCCGCCCUGGGUUAGUCGGGACCUAAGCUGAGGCCGAAAGGCGUAGGUGAUGGACAACAGGUUGAUAUUCCUGUACUACCGAUAACCGUUUGAGAGAAGGGAUGACACAGUAGGAUAAGCUAAGCACACUGUUGGUUAUGUGUGCCCAAGCAUUGAGGCAGUCAAAGUAGGCAAAUCCGCUUUGAUAAUGCUGGGAUGUGAUGGGGAGCGAAAUUUAGUAGCGAAGUAGCUGAUUUCACACUGUCAAGAAAAGUCUCUAUCGAGGUUAAAGGUACCCGUACCGCAAACCGACACAGGUGGGUGAGGAGAGUAUCCUAAGGCCAGCGAGAGAACUGUUGUUAAGGAACUCGGCAAAAUGACCCCGUAACUUAGGGAUAAGGGGUGCCACCAUCAGGUGGCCGCAGAGAAUAGGCCCAAGCGACUGUUUACCAAAAACAUAGGUUUCUGCUAAGUCGCAAGACGAUGUAUAGGAGCUGACGCCUGCCCGGUGCUGGAAGGUUAAGGGGAUCUGUUAGAGCAAUCGAAGCAGUGAACUUAAGCCCCAGUAAACGGCGGCCGUAACUAUAACGGUCCUAAGGUAGCGAAAUUCCUUGUCGGGUAAGUUCCGACCCGCACGAAAGGCGUAACGAUUUGGGCACUGUCUCAACAACAGACUCGGUGAAAUUGUAAUUCCGGUGAAGAUGCCGGAUACCUGCGACAGGACGGAAAGACCCCAUGGAGCUU